Antechinus flavipes (yellow-footed antechinus) is the source of this 367-nucleotide long non-coding RNA. RefSeq lists it as uncharacterized. Lineage: Eukaryota; Metazoa; Chordata; Mammalia; Dasyuromorphia; Dasyuridae. The record is from RefSeq and is a predicted model, not a curated record. The transcript is spliced from 2 exons.
CUUCUCCCUCUGGAGUCUGGGAGAGUAUGUGUGUGUUAGAGAUAGUUUAACUUUGAUCUGAGAUAAACUAUAGGGAAAACAGAAAGAAGCUUGUGAGGUAAGCAGUACAUUUUACAGAUGAAGAUGAGAUUCAGGAAUAAAGUGAUUUAUCCAUGUCAUACAAAUACUAAAUGUGAAAACAAGAAUUCAAAACCAAAUCUUCUGAAGCUAAAUAUGGAACUCUUUCCCCUACCAAAGUGAACAUGGAUGAGUUGACUUUUGCAUUGGUGGAUGGAGCAACUACACUUAGGAACCAAUUGCUCCUUGAAAUACUGCCACUUUUUUGAAAAGCCAGCAAUUUAUAAAUAAACAAAACUCAGUUUUUAAA